RNAcentral lists this long non-coding RNA (29922 nucleotides) under Vitis vinifera (wine grape). RNAcentral's name for it is "long non-coding RNA (VVIN_LNC005159)". Lineage: Eukaryota; Viridiplantae; Streptophyta; Magnoliopsida; Vitales; Vitaceae. The record is from RNAcentral.
GCAAGAGAGGAGUGCCACCUGAGUCUCUUCUCCAUCUUGAACUUACCUGGGGUGGAAGGGAUAUUGUCAAGAUGGGACAUUUGCUUGAGCUGAGACUUUUUCCAGAGAAAAUGAUGGACUCUGAAACAAACCCAGAUUUUCUCUUCUUGUGAUUCCCCACAAUGCGAGUGAAAUUUAGAGGAAAGAAGAAAUCUAGGGUUUGGGUUCCAGUAAUGAACCUUGAGAAAUUCUUGCUGUUGCUGUUGCUGUUGAGGAAAACGAAAUAAAAGAAAAGGGUUUGCCCUCCUUCACCUCUCUACCUUACUGAGCAUACAUAUGCACAUAUGGAAUCUUGCAGUUUCUUGGAAGUAUUGGUUGGUGGUGGUCGUCACAUUUCGGGCUUAUAGUUCUACAGACGAAAGAUGGAGACAUGAUCGUGAAUCAAUGAUUAAGCAAAUACUGAUUUUCUAGAGAGAAAAUGACAGAAUUUAAUGGAGAGAAACAUGAAUGUGUUUGAUGAAUUUAAAAUGAAGUAGUGGAUUGGGAUCAAUGAGAGUCAAAGCAACUACAAAAACAGUGUGGAAUAGCUCAGAUUCAAGAGAGAUUUGUUUAUAUAUUUUAUAUCAAGCAAUGGUUUCAUUAUGAGCUUAAAAUCAUACCAAAAAAAAGCAAAAAAAAAAAAAAAAAACAGUACUUAACAAUGGACAAAUGUUGUAAAACGACAAAUCUAUCUGUCUUUUUUUUUUUUGCCACUUUGAAUUGACAGGGGCCCAUGACUUUUGACAUCUCCAUUUUUAAACUCUCCUUAUUUAACAUUAUUUUGUGUGGGGCUUAUUAUCUUCCGCGUGAUGAAGAUGGUGUGGAUGAGAUUUCAAGUUAUUAUGAACCUUGUUUGGCAACUAUUUGAAGAAGAGUUUUCUACUUUAUUUAUUUAUUUAUUUUAAUAAUAAAAAAAUAUUAUACUUUUUUUUUUAAUGUCAUAAUAUUUUUGAGUUGUUUUCAUUUAUUUAUUUUAAUAAUUAUUUAAAAAUAAUAAUUAUAUAAAUAUAUAAAAUAAUUAAAAUCAAAAUACGGUAUAUGAAAAUUAUUUUAAGUUUUCAAAUAAAUUUUUAUUCUAUAAAACAUUAAAAAUAAAAUUUAAAAACUAUUCCUAAAAAUUAUUUUUUUAAACUGUUUUAAAAAAAUAAUUACCAAAAAAAGAGAUAUUCAUUUGUCUCUCAUUCCCUGUACAUUCCCACUUUGUAAAUAUCAUAAUAUAUUACAGAUAAGACACAAAAUAUUACCUAUAAUUCAUAUUUAAUAUUGAGACCGAGUUGUUAUAAAGAUAUGUAUAAUCUAAAAUAUUCUUGUUAAUUAAAUAUGAUAUUAAUAAAAAUAAUAAUAUCAUAAGGUAUUAUAUCCAAUAGAAUGUAUGUUAUAUAUUUGAAUUUAUAAAAUAUCGAAUAAGAAAACAUAUUAUAUUUUGAUAAGUAUAUAAAAAAUAUAUUGUUUCCAACAUUGUUAUUAAAAAAUAUGAAACAUUUGUCAUGUUCAGUAUUACUUAAAAAUCAUUCUAUAAUCUAUUAUUUAGUAAUUAAUUUUUUAUUUUUUAUUAAAAUAUUCAAGAUUAAAAUAUUUUUAUAUAUUAGUAUUAUUUUAUAUUUUAAUAUACGUAUUUUUUUUUAAAAUUAAAAUUUUACUUUUUUGACCCUAUUAAUGCUCCAAGCACUGUCAUUUACUCCUAGAGGAGCAAGUACAAAAUGUGAUAAUUCUACCUCAUAUCAUAGUCAAAAAGUCAUAUUAAGACAUGAAGUUUAGGUAAAAAAUAAUGACCCUCAAGGCUCACACAAUGAGAAAGCAUGAAUACAUUCAUCCACAUUCUUAUUAUAAGGUACUCUGUGUCAAAAAGAGAAUGUCUAAUUCUCUAAGGGAGAAUGGAAUGGUGCACCCUCGCGCAGUUCAAAGAUGAGUUUAUGUGUGCAAUUUUCAAUACAUAGAAGAUAUUUUUCCAAAUAUCCUUUUCCAUCAAACAAUAUAUGGCAAUCAUAUAGUGUGCACCCAUAUCCUAGUCCACGCAAGACUUGGUUCAUAAGGGUUUUCUUUCUUCCUAAUGAAAAUCUUAAUGUUAUCCUCCAUUGUGAGUAUACUAUCUAUCCCUCCUAGCCACUACAAAUACCAACAAACGCAUUUAAUUACCAAGCCAUCACCAGCAACACCUCUCCAUUGAUAGCAUUGCAACAAGUAAUGAAAAUUCUUAUAUUUGGUUUCUUCACUCUUAAAGAAUCAUGACGUGCAAGUGAGUGCAAAGCAAAGCUUGUUCUACAAGAAGUUCUGAAAGUUCACAGUUCCAGAUACAUGAAUGCUGGAAAGAAUCAAGGAAGCCCCUAAUGCUAGAGACUAGAAUCUUGGAAUUUUCUUCAUUUCCUUUUCUUCUGACAUUUCAGAUAUGAGUAGGAGAACCUUAUGAAACCGGUCCAUUUGGUUUAGCUUAAGCAUCUGGAUUGUCUUAUAGCAAUUCAGUUGACAGUAAUAUUUGGUAAGAAAUACUUGCAUUAUGGGUGCUUCAUAGGUUUGGCAUAAUAGAGGAAGAGGGACUAUUUGUGGCCUGAUGUCACCGGCCCAGACUUAAAACUAGGAACAGUAGCAUUUGAAUUUCUCAUGGUGCUUGAUAGGAGUAUUGUAUUCUUAGUAGCAAUUUCUCUUUAUUUUUUUUAACUCUAUAGCUUGGUGUUUUGAACAACCCAUGUAUUGAUUUUUCCUCCCGGAUUGAAACAUCCCAUUUAUCUGUCCUUCAUUUCAAAUAUAUUCCACGAUGGGAAUGAAAUCUGAUUUAUGCAAACCCAAACAUCACUGUUGUUUAGGACAUUACAAAUCAAAUAGGUUGUUUGUAGCUGCUAAAAUAUAUGCCCGAUGUGAAGAGAUAUUAGAUUCCAAUGACAGAAGGAACAAGUUCAGAGCACAUGCAUAGACAAAAAGAUGAUGUCAAAAGGAUUCUAAACGUAUACAACUAAGAGGAGUGAUACCAUGUAUAUGUUUGUAUUAACACAGCAGAAGAGGCGGCCUCCUUGGUAAGCCGCCUGGUUUGUCUUUGGAAUCACCUCACCUUGUGACAUGAAAGCAACUUUCGAUGAUCACAUCUCAAACUUUCUAUCAACUUUCCAUGGUAAAAAGCUAAGGUUCAUGCAGCCAUGCCACCAAAAUAGUGAAUGUGGAGCUACCAGUUCCAUAUAGAUUGUAAGGGAGAAAGAUCUAGUAAGGAGAAUACCCCCACCAUUCCUAAAAGCCUGUUCUAACCAAUAUUGCCAGAAAAAUGCUUACACAAAAACUAACCCACCACCCUAAAGGCUGUAUACCAAACUAUCAGGUUCCAUCUUCUUCCACAAAAUUAAUCAAUUAAGGACACACAGGACUACAAGCUGUCCCAGACGAGCUUGCAGAAUAGGAGGGUGUCAUUUAGAAUUUUAUGUCAAAAAAGAGAAAAAAAUACCCACCAGAAGGAUUAUAGAAGACCAUGUGUAUGUCUUUCUAGUCUUCAAGAUUUAAAAACCAUCCCCAAAUCAGCCAUGACUUAGAACCUCUACAUGUUCACACAGUUUACAAAGCAGAAAUUAGAACCAGGAAUACAUCUCUGUAGUCCAGAGCAACUCUCAACUAGAGCUCUAUCUUCGUCAUACUUAACCACAGUACAACAAUUGUCCUUUCUGUGUAACAAACACAAGAAUUUAUAAAUUUCUAUAGUAUUUCCUGAAUGAAAUAUGCUACUAAACAACUGGAAGCACUCAAAUGUUAUAAAAGAAAACAUGAGAAAACAUGAGACACUGAGAAAAAAGGACUAAACCACAUAUCCCAUAUGACAAUUAAGGGUUGGCUAGAUACAUGUAACUCAAUUUUGACACCAAAAUAAUUACAGCAACCUAGGAAGAGUCAAAAUAAGCCCCUUCAAUCACUCCAUGCUGUUGAUACUCCAUUUGAGAAUAACCUUCAAGAACACUUAAGGCUACAUCCACAAAAGGUUGUUGAGGGCAAGGGGAAAAACUAAAAUUUUUGAAGAAGUCGGUACCAGGUCAAGACCAGUGUAAGUUGUGAAAGAAGGACAUAUACAAAUCCAUAGUUGCAGAAGUUCAACAAAUCCAUAAUUGCAAAGUUAAUUUGAACUCAAAAUCAAUAACUCCAACUUUUAUUCAUAACCAAUCAUUUGAUUCAGAAAUUAAACAAAACAACUUCUGCCAAACAACUAUGAUUGGACAGCCAAAUUAUCAUACUUCCUAAUACCUUUCAACUUGUCAGCAUAUUUUGUCUGGAUAAAAAACAGAUAAAUCUUAAGAAAGUGAGAAUGGGAAGUGCAACAGUUCAGUAAUCAUUCAUUUAAGAAGCCAACAGGAAAGACGGGAUUGUGGCCUUCUGCAGUUGUAUUUCACAAGUAGGCUGGUUCUUAAGGUUCAAGAGAUUAGCCAUGGCAAAUGAAAUUAUUGAUGCACUCUACCUUUUUCAACAUAUUCAAUUAAACCACGAAGAAAAUAGAAAUCAAGUUAUCAUGUGCUAAUUUUAUUCAAAUUGCACAGAGAUGAUACAUGUCCACCAAUCAGCAUAUUAUGAUCUAUUGGCCAUUAAUUCUAAAAUGCUGAAACUACAACAAUUACAUCACCCACUUUCCACCUUCCAACUCCAACCCCUCUUUCCAAACCCCAAAAAGGAAAGGAAAAGGAUGGUUCAAGUUUUCUUUCAAUACAGCUCAGGACUCGAAGUACCCAGAAAACAAUAUCCACCAACAACAAAAUAUCCUCCCUCCUUAUACGACAACAUGUAGAUAUAUGAAAAGAAAAUAAUUGAUAAUUGGGCAAAGAACAGAGAGACUUGAAAACAAUCAUAAGAAUCAUAAUGAACAAGAAUGCAAAGGAUCCUACCACACGGUUCAAAGAAUGUUUUUACUGAGCACUCUUCUCCCCUGCUGAAUAGUAUUUGAUGUACCACCUAACAAAUUUCUUCAAACCUGUUUGCAGAUCUGUUGUGGGCUUGUAUCCGAGCUCCCUUUGAGCCAAGCUGAUGUUGGCAUGGGUAAACUGCACAUCCCCAUUCCUUGGCAUCUUCAUCAUCGUUCUUUUUGCCUUCACCUUCAAGAGUCUCUCCAAAAUGCUCACAAGAUCCGUGACUGGAACCGGUGAUGUGUUGCCCAAAUUGAAAACCCUCAAUUGGGCUGGCCCCUUCUUCUUCCCACCACUACCAGUGCUCUUCUCCGCAGUAUCUAAUGCUGCCACACAUCCCUUCACGAUAUCAUCAAUGUAGGUAAAAUCCCGGGCAACCGUCCCAUGAUUUGGAGCCUCAAAUAUGCGAAUCGAUUUCCCUUUCAAAAUAUCCUUCGUGAAAAAGAAAUACGCCAUAUCAGGUCUUCCCCAUGGUCCAUAAACGGUAAAGAACCGCAACCCAGUAAGCGAAAGGCCAUAUAUAUGAUUAUAAGUAUGGGCAAUCUCUUCGCCAGCCUUCUUGGUGGCGGCAUAGAGACUGGCAGGCUGAUCCGUCCGAUCUCUCUCGGAAAAGGGUACCUUUGUAUUGAGUCCAUACACUGAACUCGAAGAAGCCCACACAAUUGCAGGCUGUGGAUUCGCCGAUUUACAGACUUCAAGAAGAUUAACAAGACCAGCAAUAUUACUAUGAACAUACGAACUUGGAUUUUCCAUAGCAUACCGAACACCAGCCUGAGCGGCCAAAUGCAUUACAUGGGUAAAUGCAACUACCUCAAAUAGCUUCCGGAGAAGCUCUGAAUCGUUUAUAUCACCCUCCACAAUGAACACACCGGUACGCUCAAGAAGAGCUUGCCGGGCACGUUUCAAGGAGGGAUCAUAGUAGUCAUUGAAGUUAUCAAGCCCGACAACGCCAUCGCCGCGGCGCUUGAGUGCGGCGGAGACGUGGGUUCCAACGAAUCCGGCAGCGCCGGUGACGAGCACAGAGAUCCCAUUGCGAGCACGCACUUUGGCCGAUGAUCGGACCCGCUUUUCCCAGGCAGGACCGCCCCAACUGUAGGUCCGGAGGGACCGGCGGGAGGGGUCGGACGGCAGAGAUGAUGAUGACGGGGAUAGGAAGAAAAAGAUGAAAAUCAAGCCCAAGAAGACGAAGGACCAAAACGUUAGCUUGGCAAGAGAGGAAUGCCACCUGAGUCUCUUCUCCAUCUUGAAUUUUCCUGGGGUAGAAGGGAUGUUGUCAAGAUGGGACAUUUGCUUGAGCUGAGACAUUUUCCAGAGAAAAUAAUGGACCCUGAGACAAACCCAGAUUUUCUUUUCUUGCGAUUCCUCAGAAUGUGAGUGAAAUUUAGAGGAAAGGAGAAAUCUAGGGUUUGGGUUUCAGGAAUGAAUCUUGAGAAAUCCUUGGUGUUGCUGUUGAAGAAAAAGAAAUCAAAGAAAAGGGCUUGUUCUCCUUGACCUCUCUUACGUUAUUGUUCACACAUAUGUAUAUUUGGAAUCCUAUGGUUUCUUGGAAGGGUUGGUUGGUGGCGGUGGUCACUUUUACGCGCUUGUAGCUCUACAGAGAAAAGAUGGAAACUUGAUCGUGAAUGAAUGAUUAAGCAAAUGGUGAUUUUCUAGGGAGAGAAUGACAGCUUUUAGAGAGAGAAACCUGAUUCUCUGUUAUGAAGCCAAUACUCAUAUGGAGUAAUGGAGAUCUAGAAGACUCAAAAUGAACUGUAAAAAGUUAAAACAGCGUGGAAUGGGUCAAAUUCAAGAGAUAUUUUCAUAUUUAUUUAUUCAUAUCAACCUAGGGUUUUGUCAUUACCUUUAAAUCAUAAUAAAAAGGAAAAAAACAAAAGAAAAAAAAAAAUGAGAUUCCCUUUUCUUUUUCAUUUUUCUUUUUUUUUUUCUCAAAAUUUCAACUUUGAUUGAUUGAGACGCCUUGAAUUCUUCUACCUCCAUUUUUAAACACUCUUUAUUUAACAUAGAUUGUGUGGGGGUUAUUGCCUAGGGAAGGAGUGAUGAAGAUGGGUGUGGAUGAGAUUUUGAAGCUCCAAUAAUGGAGGGAUUUAUACUUUUUUCGACCAUUAAAAAUGGAGAAAUUUGUGGGGAUUUGGGAGUUGGAAUUUCCACGCCAAUUUCUUAUUUAUUAUGAUGAAGAUGAUCAAGCUAUCAACUCUAAAUAAAUUAGUCAAAGUUGAAAUUAAUCACUUAAAUUAUGUUCUUUGUUUUUUUUCUUUCCUUUUUAUAAAAGAGCAAUACAAAAUUUUUAAAAAUCUUAGAUGGGUUUUGUUGGAACUCUUGAGGGAAUGUGGGUAGUGGAAUUUUAAGCAAUUAAAAGAUACCAAUGAUAAGAUAAUUUUAAAAAUAAGUCAUUAGUGUAAAGUGCAAGAGAAUGCUAAAUGUUUAAUAAUUCAUCUAAGAGGAUAAAUUUUAAAAUUUGAAAGCAUACAACAAGAAGACUAUUGUAUAUAUAUUAGACUAUUGUGUGAUCACCAUUCACACCUAUUUUUUAAGUGGUUUUUUCCAAGUGAUUCUAAUGAUUAUCCACAUUAUGAUUAUGUUUGAUAAGGAUGUUAUUUAAUUAUUCCAAUUUAAAGGGGAAUAUGAAUGCUUGACAUUUGUGCACAUUAUAAUGAUUAAUAUAAAGUAUGGUUAUGGCUAAAUUUGAAUGUUUAUUUAUACUUGUAUUAAGCUAUGCUAUAUUGGUGCUUUUCAAAGAUGAUGCAGUGAGAGAACUUAUUUGGGAAAUUUUCUAUUUUAAAGUAGGCAAAGGACUGCAACAAAGAAGUAGACAACAAUGGUGGAUCCACAGAGUUAGAACAAUCAUGAAAAAAAGGGUCUUCACUCAACUACAAAACAGUUGGCAAUUACACAAUGUGGGGAUCACAGGAAAGAAAGAAAAGUGGAAAUAUGCUGCAGGAAACUUGAAAGAAUUUUAUGUUUUCAAGCUAAUAAUAAUAAUAAUAAAAGGCUAUUUAUUUACUUUUUCUCCCUUUUGUUUUUUUUUAUACCUUAUACAUGGUAGAAAAAAAUAGGGAAAAUGGUUCAAGAAGUUAGGGGAUUUGUUUUAAAAUUUAUUACUAUGGUAUUGGAAGGGAAAAGCUGUCUGUUUUCUUUUUCUCUUUUUUGUUUUUGGAUUUUGUGUGAGGCUUUUUUUUAACCCUUUUGUCUCUUUGUGGGUGGAUGUGUGAGUGAGAGAGAUAUGGGCAGAGGGGAUGAGUAAAUACAAGAGGAGACAGUGCAUGUGAGAGAGAGAAAAGUCACAUUUAGUGAGUGCUAGUAGUGCAAAACAAACUUGGAAAGAAGGCAAAUCCCUUUUUUUCCAAGGACCCUUUAUUAGAUACCUUACAUUUCAAUUUAUGUUAUAGGCUAGCAUCAUAUGGGUUUGUACUUGAAAUUAUUUUAGAGACACAAACACCUAGUUUCUUAAAAUGAAGAGUAGUAAUUUUCAAGGAAAAUAUACCCAAUAGUGUGUGUCCCACUUUCUCUAUAUUAGACUCAUCAUCAUAAUAACCUUCAUACCCUUCAUCCUUAAUGGGUCAAAGGAUACCCAAACGAGGAUGAGAUGAUUUUUGACCGUUUGGCACUCAAAUUUUGACUGAGAGGGAUAGCUUUGUUUCUUCUGAGACUGGUUCUUUGAGAGGAUGGUAUGGCCUGAACUCUUAUUUUCCAUCUUGGAAAAUAAAUGAAUAAACUACUUUGAGAAGAAGGGAAAAGAAAUAAAUUUGUGACUAGGUGCCACCUGCACCAUGUGACAAACUGAUAGAAAAGGUGAGGGGAGACAUGUCCUUGCUGUUCUUUCUUUAUACACAGGCAUCAUGUUCCAUGCCUUGCUAGUUAAUAUAGGCUGGACCUGAACAAAUUAUCUUAUAUAAUAAUAUGCAUUGGGCAUGACACCCUUAAGAUUAGGAGGCUUUCCUGGAAAUGCUGCUUAGUGAUAAUAGUGAAAUGGUUCCCUAGUGCCAGUAAAUUCACCCAUACAUUCAGCAGAUAUGAGAUCAAGUUCAUGCCCUCACAAAUAUCGAAAACACACUGAAAAACAUGGAUGGGCUUUUAAUAAUCUUGUACUUUUGAAGAACCAAUCUCAAUUGUUGAACAAAUUAAGUUUGGGUUAUUCUUGAGAUCCCCAGUAGAAAAGAAAAAAAAAACUAUGGAAAAACUUAUUCUCAAGAUCCAUCCAAUUCAAUAUGACUUCAAUUCCACUGGCAUCAAAGAGAUUAAAACAACCAAACUACUCAUUAACUCAGAAUAAAAUUACUAGCUCAGGAACAUCAAUGAGCCCUGGCCAGCAUAAAUCUUAAAAUAUUACAAGAAUACAAGGCAAUAAAAAAGGGUGGCUUCCAUUUCCCACUGCUGUGGUUGUCACAGUGGUGAGUCUUUCUUUUUAGCUUAAAGGUUGAUGGUACUUCAAUGUUUGGUAAAACGCUGGAGGACUUCGAAGUAGUCAGGGAAGGUUUUCCGGGUGCAACCAGGAUCCUUGAUGGUUACUGGAACAUCUGCACAGGCAGCAAGAGAAAAUGCCAUGGCCAUCCUGUGAUCGUCGUAUGUGUCUAUUGAUGUCACGUUUAGUUUUUCUGGUGGAGUGAUCACACAGUAAUCAGGCCCUUCUUCAACUGUUGCUCCCAGCUGAAAUUUAAAACCGAAUGGCUCAGUAUGGAAAAUGCCUACAGAGUAGACAAGGUUAUAGAAUUUCAAUUGCAUAUAAAUGCCGCUGGAAACUGACCUUCCUGAGUUCUGUGCAAAUGGCAAUCAUCCUUUCGGUCUCCUUCACUCUCCAACUAGCCACUGUUAAAUAAGAGAACCAAGAGAUCAGUGGAGCAGUUUUAACCAGAUUUGUUCACAUGCAAUUCUAAGAAAAUGGAUUCAAUAAUCUACCUAAUAAGAUCUUUGUUUUCUGAUGAAAAAAGAAAUACUUCAAGUCAGCCGAUCCUAAUGGGAAAGGAAGUUUUCCUUCCAACUUUUAGUUUAGUGCAAUAAAAUAUUCUUUUCUUUCUUUUUUAAAACAUUGGUAAGGGUUUACAGUAAAGUUUCUGAUUCCCCUGUGAUAAUCAUUAGUCCCUACAUUGUUCUUAUGCCAUUACAUAAACUGUGAGCACCAAAUGCCCACCCCACCUCCCCCCACCCCAGAUAGAAAUGGGGAUUCCGUGAUUCUCAAUGUAUAGACCAGCUAUUUUCACUGCCAUUUCUGCAGCCAAAAUGCUAAAUCAAACUGCAUUUAAUACCAAUAGUAGAGGCUAACUCAUUCCCAUUUCCAAGGACAUAAUGAAAUCAAUUCACUAUCAUCUAUGUGCCAUGCACAAAUUCUGAAGUAAUAGAGCCCAAGUAAUGGGAAUUGCAUAUCUUAGUACAGGAUUCCAAGAAAUGGGAAUCCCAUAACUUAGGAUCCAGCAUAUGGUAUACACCAGUUCAUUUCUAUGAACUACACACAUUUGAGAAGUCCAGGGGCCCAAAGAAUGGGAAUUUUGACUUGCCCAGUAAAUAGUUAGUUUUUUUGUGAUAAGCAAAAACAAAUUGAAUAACGACAUUCCCAUCUUUCACAACCAAAAGGCAAAACAUACCAUCUCUUAUGGCAGUCGGCCCAUCAGCAUAAAGGGCAACUACAGCAAGAGUCAUGGCAACAUCUGGCAUCUUGUUCAUGUUGACGUCAAUGGCACGUAAGUGUUUCCUUCCAGAAGAAUCUCGGGGUGGGCCUGUGACUGUGACACUGUUCUCCAUCCAGGAAACUUUUGCACCCAUUUGCUCAAGAACCUCAGCAAAUUUUACAUCCCCCUAAGUAAAAGGAAAAUUGAGGGGAAAAUGUGACUUCACUUGGUUAAGGAGAACAUAAUACAGAUACAGCCAAACUCAUCUAAAUCAUAAAAACAAAGCCAAAUUUGGAAAUCAUAUGUCAAUAGGAGUUCAGGAAUCUAGGAAUCAAUCAAGAAGCACUAGGAAACAUUGGAGAAAACACAAUAGUAAAAUUAGAGCAGGUGAAGAAAUAAAAGUAUACAUUGCAAUUCUGGAAUAACUUGAAAGUUGGAAAAUUAGUAUUAGUUUACCUGUAGGCUGCUUGUCCCACAGCCUUCAACUGUGACAGUCCCACCAGUUACAGCUGCACCGGCUAGGAAGUAACUAGCACUAGAAGCAUCACCCUCAACAAAAGCAUUUCCAGGAGACCUGAAGGAUUUUGAACCUAUCACUCUCAAUGGACUAGAUUUCACAAACUCAUGCAACUAUGUAGAAGAAAAACCUACUUGUAUUUUUGACCUCCUCGGAUCAAGAAUCGGUCCCAUGUAUUACUGUGCUCUACACUAACCCCAAAACGUUCCAUCAAUUUCAAGGUCAUUUCAACAUAAGGAAUGGAAAUAAGUUUAUCAAUAAUCUCAAUCUCCACAUCUCCUAGAGCCAAGGGAGCUGCCAUAAGCAAAGCAGUCAAGUAUUGACUACUAAUUGAUCCAGAGAGCUUCACCUGCAAGUAGAAAUAUAGAAAAAGUGGGUUGAGAGUGGACAAAUCAGGGGUUGAUUAGCAAAAGGCCAAUCAAUCUCUUUUUGGUGCCUAAAGCAACAACCUACAGGUAAAGUCUUCCAAGUUUAGUUGUAUUAUACAUUUUGCACAAGGCAUUACCUAUUAAAAAUAAAGAAAAAGAGGAAAAAGAAAAAUGAUGACAAUUAUAUUUUCUAGUAUCAAACAGUUUUUUCAGCAACUUGUUCCUUUUCUAGAAUGAUAAAUAACAAUGGAAAUAUUCUUUUUUGAAAUGAAGUGCUUACAUUUUUAAAAUGUGAAACAAUUUUUUUUUUCUUAUAUUUUCUAAAAAUGAUCACAUCUCAAUUUUACAACACUUUUUGGAAAAGUGUCAAUAAGCAUGUCUUCUACGAUUUUUCUUGUUUCUUUUUCUUUCUUCUUCUUUUUCCCUUUCAUUUUCAAAACCAAAGAGGCUUAUAAUCUGUUUACAAUUUUUUUCAUUUUCAACCAAACAGGCUUCAUGAAAGUGAAAGUUAUAAACUAAAACAUAUCAUAUGACACAUUUCCUUAUGGUGACACCAUGGCUGGAACAAUAUUUUAUGGAGGUUGAAAACAACAAUAAUAUUUCAAAGAUUGUACUCAAUGCUGGUUCCUCCAUGGUUUUGACAGUUUCAUUUUUAAAAAUGAAAAACAAUUGAAAUGAGAGAAAGAAAAGUGGGUCACAUAUGUUGACAAAAUGCUUCAACUUGCCAGGAUAUUGUGCAUAAAUAAUGGCUAGAAAAAUCAUAAAGUCAAGAACAGGACAUGCAAAUAUAAGUGCAACUUUGGAGUAAGACCUAAAAUUUAUUAUUCCAAAAAAAAAAUGAAAUAAAACAUAUGCCAUUGCAUGCUAGAGUGCCAGUGUAAAGGUGAAAUGAAUAUUACCUUUCCUCCUGGAAGGCCUCCAUUCCCAUUAACACGAACAGGAGGGCAGUUUGUUCCGAGAAAGCAGUUAACGUCUGCACCGAGCUGCUUAAGACCUGUGACUAGAUCCCCAAUUGGUCUUUCUCUCAUGCGCGGCACCCCAUCAAGUACAUAGCUGAAAAGUUAUUAAUUAGUAUAGAGGUGUCAGCUUGAAGAGUAACACAAAUAAAUGAGUGGAUGAUGUUGAGGAGCUCUGGGAGGAGAGAAUAGCAGGGAGUGGCAUGAACACAACAGUUGAUGCAUCCUCUUACAGAAUCCAAUCUUUUUAUUGUACCUCUUUUUUUUUUUUCCCUUUGAUAAGCAGGUGUCACACAAUUUUGGCAUCCAUUAUUGUCACAUACGUUUUAAAAGUAAAAUAAAGAAAAAAUAAAAAAUGAAUCAGAUGACAUUGUUGAGUAACUUGAUUAUAAUAUCCCAAUCUGGCAACUUUAGGAUCUAACUAGCUAAUUGAAAGUAUCAAAAAGCAAUCCUGAACAUGUGUGCCACUUCUAUGGCACAGUUUGGAUUCUUUGGAGCUUCCUACUUAGUUGAAGUGAUUUAUGAAGACAAGAAUGUCAACCUUUGUUGUCAUUGUAGGUCAAUUUCAUUUUAGUAUCAGAAUUGAAUCAAGCUAAAGUCCAAGCUUAACAGAAGAAAUAUAUAGAAAGGAGAAGAAAAGGUUGUCUUGGAAAAAAACAACCCAAAUUUUUUUGUAAAAGAGUGAUCCCUAUGUUUGCUUGCACAAGUUGGAUGAUAAAACAUUUUACAAACCUUGCAUUUCCACCAGCAGCUGUAACUGCAGCUGUCAAUGGACGCAUUGCUGUUCCAGCAUUUCCUAGGAAAAGUUGGACUUCACCUACUGAUCCAUUUCCCGCUGGAAAUUGGCCCCCACAACCUUGCACAAUAACUCUUUUAUUUUCACUUUGCUCUUCCACAUGUAGCCCAAGGGUCCUCAGUGCUCCGAGCAUGUAAUGGACAUCUUCACUAUUUAACAAAUUGUCCACAACAGUAGUUCCCUGACAAGAUAAUUGACAUCAAAAGUUUUUAGAACCUGAAUUCUACAUGGAAAAUUCACCCCACCUAAAGCAAAGACCAUAACCUCGGAUGUUCUAAAAUAUGUCUUCCAGCUUGAGAGAUACACCAGUUAAUCACACAUACAAUAGUCUACAUUCUAUAGCUAUAGACUCCAGGUAAAUUCUCCUGAAACUACAUGAUUUAUUUUAGAUAGUGCAACAUCAAAAGAGUUCAUGACUUGCUUACCAACCAUUUUCUAAGGUUUAUACAUCAAUUUAAAGUGUUAAGUUUUAUACCUUCACCCAUACAAAUCCAUAUUUUUCCAAAUUCAUUUACUUCAAAGCCUGAUUUCCAACACUACAGACAUAAGUACCUUUCUUUGGUACCAAUCUUUUCUUAGAAAAACCAUCAUUCGUCAUUCUAAUUUCAAAAAGAGAUGCAUACAUUUUCCCAGUUCUAUAUUUCAUUUUAUUUAAAAAAAUUCAGCCUUUCAUUCAAUAUAUGAUGCUAAGAAAUAUGAACAAGCUGCAUCAAGAGUAGCAAUCAUUCACGAUCGAAUUUGAAAGGACGUCUCUACACGUAUAUAAUUCACAUAACCACAAUUCACAAAGCAAAUCGUAAUGAUACCCAAUUUCCAAUACAAAACCAAAUCAGCUAAAUCAUAUAUUGAAAAUCAAAACUUCACCCAACAAGAAAAGAAUACAAUCCUCAUACCUCAGAGAGAGCAGCUAGAAGCAGAAUCCGAUUGGAAAGGGACUUGGAACCCGGCAACGUGAUGGUGCCGGAGAUCUCUUUAAUGGGUUGCAGGACAAUCUCCGGCGCCGUCGACGGCUUCUCCUUAGUGGCGACAGAGGCCGAAACCCUAAACGGGGCCCUAACAGAAACAAUCGAAUUGCUAACUGCCCUCUCAUGCUUCAAAGAAAAAGAAGAAACAUUAGGCCCUGAUCUCAAGAAGGGAGUAGUGAAUGGAGGAGUGGGUUUGUGAGGCUUGGAGAGAUUGGGCAAGAGAGGGCUGUUCUGGACACCACCACUGACAAUUCUGGUAACUUGAGCCAUUUUUCUCACUCUAGAAAACCAACUUCUCUCUAAACUAGAGGGCUCUGAUGAAAGUGGGUAUUGAUGAAGAUGGGUUUUGGGUAUUGGUAUUGAGCCUGAGGCAGAAGGAGGAGGAAGUGGAGGUGGUAGGAUUCAGAGCUCACCAACCAACUUCGGCAGCAGCCAUCAAAAUUAUUGACGCAGACCGUCUUCUCUCCCACCAACCCCUUGAUUGUUUUACUCACUCUACUUCAUUUGAAAAUUGCAUUUAUCCUCAAAUUUUAAUUAUUUUAGUAUAAGAUUUUUACACAUUUAGAAAUGCUUUCAUCCUUUCCAUUCCUGAGGAAAAAAAUAAAAGAAAAGGGAAAGCAAUUAUUUUUUAUUCUUUUUAAUUUAAAAUAAAUUUAAUUUUUCAAAAUUGACAUGGUACAAUGUGGAGGCUCUGUUUGGUGUGCGACUCGAAUGGGGGAGUAGGCGGGGGUGGGACCCAGGGAGUAGGUAUAAUAAGCCAUGUGGUUUGGUGAGAGACCGCCUCCUGAAUUAGGUAGACCAGUCGUGGUUCACAAUCCAUUCUUAUUAUUGGGCCUAGGGGAGUCCCUGUUCCAAUUGACCAACAAAUUCUAGCCCAUGACAAUCAUCAUCAUUCAUCAAAAUCAUGUUUGUUUUUUUGUUUUUGAUAAGUAUGAGAAGUAUUGGAUUCUGAAAGCGCUAAAAUAACGACUCAAAAUGCACGUACAUAUAUAUAUAUAUAUAUAUAUAUAUAUAUAUAUAUAUAAAGAGAAAUACUCACCCCCUACUAAGACAAAUAAAAAGCUUUCCAUAAUGAUAUAUAAAAAUAAUAAUAAUACAGCCCCCUUAUAAGAACCCACCCAAUAAAAAAACUGUAAAGAACCAUCUUUUAUAAACAGUUUAAUUUUCAACCAUAAUAGGGAUGAUAAUGGGGUGAGAUUUUUCGGGUACCCGCUCCGCCUCGUCCUAUGUUUAAUUUUAAUAAACGAAUUGGGAAUAGGUUUGGGGAUUUUUUUUUAAAACCGGAAGCUGGUUCAGGUAUUGCCUCGCCCUGUCCCGAUUAUAUAUAAAAUUAAAAUUUUAAUUAAAUUUAAUUUAAAAUUUAAAAUUAAUUUAAUUUAUUUUUUAUUUUAUUAUUUUUAAUAUAUAGAUAAUAAUAAAAUAUUUUUAAUAAUAUAAGUUAUAAAAAAUUUAAUAAUUUAAUUAUUUAUAAAAUAUAUUUAUUUUAAUAUAAUUAAAAGUUUUAAAAGUAAUUUUUUAAAAAAAAAAUUAAAAUUCAAAAAAAAGUUAAACGGGGCGGGUAUGAGAAUUUAUCAUACCUGCCCGCCCCGUUUAAUUUUUUAAAUGAGACGAAGAUAAGAAUUGUUUCAAAUAAACGGGACGGGGUUGGGAUGGAGGCGACCUGUCCCAACCCCGCCCUGUUGUCAUCCCUAGACCAGAAUAAGAAAAUAAGUUUUCAACUUUUGAAAGGAUAAUACAUCAUCUUCAAAGACAAUUCUAUUUCUUAUCUUUCAAAUGGUCCAAAAAAAUGCAAAGGGAUUUUAUAUGAGCCUUAAAGAUGCUAAAAAUAGUUAAAAAAAUCAAGUUUUAAAGAAUUUCUAUAAUUUUAAAAUUUUUUGACAAUACAAGAUAAGUAUUUAUUUUUUUGUAUAAGAGUUAUUAUCUUUCUAUAGUCCAAGGUUGAUAAACAAAAAAAUUCAAGAAUUUUGUCCAAACACCACCCUAUUCAGCCAUAAUUUUUAGGGACAACAAUAUUGUUUUUAAACUUAAUAAUCUUUUUCCCUACACGAUCUUGAGUUGAUUUGACAUGUUUUUACUUAAAUAUCUCUAAUAAAAAUAUUUUCUUUAAAAAUAUUUUUAGGAGAAUAGAAAGCACUAUAGGUGGUUUUUUUUUAAUAUUAUUAGUGACUUUUUUAAAAAACUUUUUAAGUAUUCUCAAGAUUUGUCAAAUAGUUAAUUUUUUUUUUAAAAACACUUUUUAGAAAGACAAAAAAAAGGCUUUUUAAAAUUACUAACAAACAGACUCUCAAACACUAUUAUGAUUUAAAUCCAUAUAUUACUUAUUAUGUAAAAAAUUUAGCAGCAUCCCUGGAAAAAUAAUUGGAUUCUAUAUAGGUAAUAAGACCUGACCUUUCAUAACAUCCCAUGUUACCUAUCUCCAAGCAGCAUAUGCAACUUGGGCUUUUUCAAGGUUGUGAUAUUCCAUUGUCUUCCAAGGUUAAAGGAUUGAAGUAGUGUGGAAGCUUUUCUGAGUACAAGCAGCCUGGAUCUUUGGUGGAGGCAGCAAGGGAGAAUGCUCUGUGAUCAUUUUAUAUGUCUAUUGCUGUCACAUUUAGCUUUUCUGGUGGAGUGAUGGAACUAAAAAUGACUUCUUUUUUUCUUCUUAAUAUUUAAUAAAAAUAAAAUAUAAAAAAGUAAAUAAUUUAAUAUUUAACGUUAUUAAAUACUAUUUAACUUUAAGUUCUACUUACAAUUAAGUUAAAAAAAAAAAAACACCACCUAAUUUGAGGAAUCCCAAUUCAAUCUAUAUAAAACAAUUGGAAAUUCGAUCUAUACAAAACAAUUGGAAAUUGACUUUCCUAACUUCCAUGUAGAUAGGAAAUCUUCUUUUCAAGUCUUUUUCACUCUUAAUAAGUCAUUUACAAUAUAAAAUUCAUUCUCAAUCAUCUAAAUACUAUCUGUUUCAAAUCUAAAAAGCCCUAAUAGUUUUAAAAAGUGUUUACAUUCAAAAAAAAGUUUAUAUAUAUAUAGUAUCAAUAACUUUUUCUCUUAUUUGGAAGGAAUAACACAAUCAUUCCUUAUAUAAAAUACAACCUCAUCAUUAUGUUUUGUUGGAUUACAAGAUCAAACGAACAAACAUCUCUAUAAUGUUAAACAAACUCCCACAAUGGGAUUGAUGAUUAACUUUAAUACCAUUUUAUAAUGAUUUAUUCCUAAUCAUGUAUAAAUUAUUUACUUUGAAUUUAAAUGGUUCUCACAACUUUAAAAUAUGUCUAUAUGAUUAGGAAAAGUUCAUACAUAUAUAGUGUCGAAAUUUUUUCUUCCAUCCAAUAUGAGAGAUUGCACAAAAAUAGAGAACAAUGAGGCAAAGGAGGAGUUUUAGACAAGUCCCCGUCAAUCACUUAGCAUUACAGAAAGAAGAGUAAUGCCAAUGUGGUAUAUACCCAAGAAAUGGAUUGAAAGAUUUAGAAUAUAUUUGGAUAGGCAACUCAAAUAGUUCUUGACAUAUUAGUUCAGCGACAUUCACAAAUGUCCAAAGAGAAGGAUUUUGAUAUAAAAGUUGAAGAACAAAUUCAAUCCAAGCCCACUUUGGUUCAUCCAUUGUGAAGGGAGGGAAUGAUUUUGAGGAUGGCUGAAUCCUCGUCUCAGGCCUGGCCCAGAAUUUGGGAUCUUUAACAAAGCCCAGGUCAAGCUGUGAGGUUAUUUUAAGGUCCAAACCCAAAACCCUCUGACCGUAUCAAGACUGUUUGCGUUCCCCUCCAACCAGUCAAAAAGGCCCAUUUCAUGCUGAAUAAGAGUUUUUAAUAGGGGUGAAAGUAAAAUGAAAAGAAAAAAUUGAAAAUCCGAUACAAAUCAAUCAAAACUGUUCAUAUCAAUUCAAGUUUUUAAUAACCAUAAAGGUCAUAUGAUUUUUCUAGUCUCAUAACCGAUAAAAAUCAAACGAAAUCAACGUUAUAAAAUUUAUAUAUAAUUAUUCAUUAUUUGAUGAACAUUUUUAAAAUAGAAAAUAGUUUUUUGAAAAUAAAUUAUUUUUAAAACAAAUUAUAGACGUUUUAAUUAUUUUGUGUGAAGUGCUUCAAGUAAUAAAUGAAAAUGUGAAAAAUAAUUUCAUAUUUGCAUGCAGGGAAAUAAUAUGUGUAUCUUAGGUCUGUUAUGUCCAUCCUGUAUUCCAACUUUGUUUGCAUGCAGGGAAACUGAGGAAAAAGAAAAGGAAAUAAGAGCUGAAAUCAAUGUUCUAUGUUAUUGUGCUAUCCAAAAUACAAAAAUGUCACCUAAACUAAAACUAUAGAUUUGAAGUUGAUAAAUUAUUUUGAUAUCUAUUUUCAAACUCAUUUUAUUUAUUUUUCAUCUUUUACGUAAAGUUAAAUAAUUUCAAAAUAGAUAAAUUUUAUACUAAUUUUAAUUAUAUCAGAUUUUUUUUUUUUUUUUGUUAUUUUUCAUGGCAUCCAAACAUGAAAAAAAAUCAUUUUUCUUUACAUCUUUUCUGGUACUUUUCUAGAAUCAAGCAUAGCCUUUAUGUUUUUAUUCUCCUCCAGUUGGUCAGCAACCAAACAGCUUAUUACAGUUUGAUCAUAUGGGUAGUCUGUGACAAUCUUUCCAGCUUAUUCAGUUUUUGUAAUUAAAAGAUAUAUUUGGUGCUUUUCAAAGAUGAUGCAGUGAGAGAACUUAUUUGGGAAAUUUUCUAUUUUAAAGUAGUCUGUGACAAUCUCAAUUGUUGAACAAAUUAAGUUUGUGUUAUUCUUGAGAUCCCCACCAUAAAAGACAAAAAAAACUAUGGAAAAACUUAUUCUCAAGAUCCAUCCAAUUCAAUAUGACUUCAAUUCCACUGGCAUCAAAGAGAUUAAAACAACCAAGCUACUCAUUAACUCAAAAUAAAAUUACAAGCUCAGGAACAUCUAUGAGCCCUGGCCGGCAUAAAUCUUAAAAUAUUACAAGAAUACAAGGCAAUAAAAAAGGGUGGCUUCCAUUUCCCACUGCUGUGGCUGUCACAGUGGUGAUAGUCUUUCUUUUUAAUAGCUUAAAGGUUGAUGGUACUUCAAUGUUUGGUAAAACGGUGGAGGACUUCGAAGUAGUCAGGGAAGCUUUUCCUUGGUGCAACCAGGAUCCUUGAUGGUUACUGGAACAUCUGCACAGGCAGCAAGAGAAAAUGCCAUGGCCAUCCUGUGAUCGUCGUAUGUGUCUAUUGAUGUCACGUUUAGUUUUUCUGGUGGAGUGAUCACACAGUAAUCAGGCCCUUCUACAACUGUUGCUCCCAGCUGAAAUUUAAAACUGAAUGGCUCAGUAUGGAAAAUGCCAACAGAGUAGACAAGGUUAUGGAAUUUAAAUUGCAUAUAAAUGCCGCUGGGAACUGACCUUCCUGAGUUCUGUGCAAAUGGCAAUCAUCCUUUCGGUCUCCUUCACCCUCCAACUAGCCACUGUUAAAUAAGAGAACAGAGAUCAGUGGAGGAGUUUUUAACCAGAUUUGUUCACAUGCAAUUCUAAGAAAAUGGAUUCAAUAAUCUACCUAAUAAGAUCUUUGUUUUCUGAUGAAAAAAGAAAUACUUCAAGUCAGCUGAUCCUAAUGGGAAAGAAAGUUUUCCUUCCAACAUUUAGUUUAGUGCAAGAAAAUGUUCUUUUCUUUCUUUUUUAAAACAUUGGUAAGGGUUUGCAGUAAAGUUUCUGAUUCCCCUGUGAUAAUCAGUAGUCGCUACAUUGUUCUUAUGCCUUUACAUAAACUUUAAGCACCAAAUGCCCACCCCACCUCCCCCCACUCCAGAUAGAAAUGGGGAUUCCGUGAUUCUCAAUGUAUAGACCAGCUAUCUUCACUGCCAUUUCUGCAGCCAAAAUGCUAAAUCAAACUGCAUUUAAUACCAAUAGUAGAGGCUAACUCGUUCCCAUUUCCAAGGACAUAAUGAAAUCAAUUCACUAUCAUCUAUGUGCCAUGCACAAAUUCCGAAGUAAUAGAGGCCAAGUAAUGGGAAUCGCAUAUCUUAGUACAGGAUUCCAAGAAAUGGGAAUCCCAUAACUAGGGACCCAGCAUAUGGUAUACACCAGUUCAUUUCUAUGAACUACACACAUUUGAGAAGUCCAGGGGCCCAAAGAAUGGGAAUUUUGACUUGCCCAGUAAAUAGUUAGUUUUUUUUUGUGAUAGGCAAAAACAAAUUGAAUAACGACAUUCCCAUCUUUCACAACCAAAAGGCAAAACAUACCAUCUCUUAUGGCAGUCGGCCCAUCGGCAUAAAGGGCAACUACAGCAAGAGUGAUGGCAACAUCUGGCAUUUCGUUCAUGUUGACGUCAAUGGCACGUAAGUGUUUCCUUCCAGAAGAAUCUCGGGGUGGGCCUGUGACUGUGACACUGUUCUCCGUCCAGGAAACUUUUGCACCCGUUUGCUCAAGAACCUCAGCAAAUUUUACAUCCCCCUAAGUAAAAGGAAAAUUGAGGGGAAAAUGUGACUUCACUUGGUUAAGGAGAACAUAAUACAGAUACAGCCAAACUCAUCUAAAUCAUAAAAACAAAGCCAAAUUUGGAAAUCAUCUGUCAAUAGGAGUUCAGGAAUCUGGGAAUCAAUCAAGAAGCACUAGGAAACAUUGGAGAAAACACAAUAGUAAAAUUAGAGCAGGUGAAGAAAUAAAAGCAUACAUUGCAAUUUGGGAAUAACUUGAAAGUUGGAAAAUUAGUAUUAGUUUACCUGUAGGCUGCUUGUCCCACAGCCUUCAACUGUGACAGUCCCACCAGUUACAGCAGCACCGGCUAGGAAGUAACUAGCACUUGAAGCAUCACCCUCAACAAAAGGAUUUCCAGGAGACCAGAAGGAUUUUCAACCUAUCACUCUCAAUGGACUAGAUUUCACAAACUCAUGCAACUAUGUAGAAAAAAAACCGACUUGUAUUUUUUACCUCCUCGGAUCAAGAAUCGGCGGUCCCAUGUAUUACCGUGCUCUACACUAACCCCAAAACGUUCCAUCACUUUCAAGGUCAUUUCAACAUAAGGAAUGGAAAUAAGUCUAUCAAUAAUCUCAAUCUCCACAUCUCCUAGAGCCAAGGGAGCUGCCAUAAGCAAAGCAGUCAAGUAUUGACUACUAAUUGAUCCAGAGAGCUUCACCUGCAAGUAGAAAUAUAGAAAAAGUGGGUUGAGAGUGGACAAAUCAGGGGUUGAUUAGCAAAAGGCCAAUCAACCCUUUUUUGUUUUUUUUGUUUCUCUUUUUGGUGCCUAAAGCAACAACAUACAGGUAAAGUCUUCCAAGUUUAGUUGUCUUAUACAUUUUGCACAAAGCAUUACCUAUUAAAAAUAAAGAUAAAGAGGAAAAAGAAAAAUGAUGACGAUUAUAUUUUCUAGUAUCAAACAGUUUUUUCAGCAACUUGUUCCUUUUCUAGAAUGAUAAAUAACAAUGGAAAUAUUCUUUUUUGAAAUGAAGUGCUUACAUUUUUAAAAUGUGAAACAAUUUUUGUUCUUAUAUUUUCUAAAAAUGAUCACAUCUCAAUUUUACAACACGUUUUGGAAAAGUGUCAAUAAGCAUGUCUUCUAUGAUUUUUCUUUUUUCUUUUUCUUUCUUCUUCUUUUUCUCUUUCAUUUUCGAAACCAGAGAGGCUUAUAAUCUGUUUACAAUUUUUUUCAUUUUCAACCAAACAGGCUUCAUGAAAGUGAAAGUUAUAAACUAAAACAUAUCAUAUGACACAUUUCCUUAUGGUGACACCAUGGCUGGAACAAUAUUUUAUGGAGGUUGAAAACAACAAUAAUAUUUCAAAGAUUUUACUCAAUGCUGGUUCCUCCAUGGUUUUAACAGUUUCAUUUUUAAAAAUGAAAAACAAUUGAAAUGAGAGAAAGAAAAGUGGGUCACGUUUGUUGACAAAAUGCUUCAACUUGCCAGGAUAUUGUGCAUAAAUAAUGGCUAGAAAAAUCAUAAAGUCAAGAACAGGAUAUGCAAAUAUAAGUGCAACUUUGGAGUAAGACCUAAAAUUUAUUAUUCCAAAAAAAAUGAAAUAAAACAUAUGCCAUUGCAUGCUAGAGUGCCAGUGUAAAGGUGAAAUGAAUAUUACCUUUCCUCCUGGAAGGCCUCCAUUCCCAUUAACAUAAACAGGAGGGCAAUUUGUUCCAAGAAAGCAGUUAACGUCUGCACCGAGCUGCUUAAGACCUGUGACUAGAUCCCCAAUUGGUCUUUCUCUCAUGCGCAGCACCCCAUCAAGUACAUAGCUGAAAAGUUAUUAAAUAGCAUAGAGGUGUCAGCUUGAAGAGUAACACAAAUAAAUGAGUGGAUGAUGUUGAGGAGCUCUAGGAGGAGAGAAUAGCAGGGAGUGGCAUGAACACAACAGUUACAGAAUCCAAUCAAAAUCCAAUCUUUUUAUUGUACCUCCCUUUUUUUUUCUUUUCCCUUUGAUAAGCAGGUGUCACAUAAUUUUGGCAUCCAUUAUUGUCACAUACGUUUUAAAAGUAAAAUAAAGAAAAAUUAAAAAAUGAAUCAGAUGACAUUGUUGAGUAACUUGAUUAUAAUAUCCUAAUCUGGAAACUUUAGGAUCUAACUAGCUAAUUGAAAUUAUCAAAAAGCAAUGCUGAACAUGUGUGCCACUUCUAUGGCACAAUUUGGAUUCUUUGUAGCUUCCUACUUAGUUGAAGUGAUUUAUGAAGACAAGAAUGUCAACCUUUUUUGUCAUUGUAGGUCAAUUUCAUUUUAGUAUCAGAAUUGAAUCAAGCUAAAGUCCAAGCUUAACAGAAGAAAUAUAUAGAAAAACAAGAAAAGGUUGUCUUGGAAAAAAACAACCCAAAAUUCUUUGUAAAAGAGUGAUCCCUAAGUUUGCUUGCACAAGUUGGAUGAUAAAACAUUUCACAAACCUUGCAUUUCCACCAGCAGCUGUAACUGCAGCUGUCAAUGCACGCGUUGCUGUUGCACAAUUUCCUAGGAAAAGUUGGACUUGGUCUACUGAUCCAUUACCCACUGGAAAUUGGCCCCCACAACCUUGCACAAUAACUCUUUUAUUUUCACUUUGCUCUUCCACUUGUAGCCCAAGGGUUCUCAGUGCUCCGAGCAUGUAAUGAACAUCUUCACUAUUCAACAAAUUGUCCACAACAGUAGUUCCCUGACAAGAUAAUUGACAUCAAAAGUUUUUAGAACCUGAAUUCUACAUGGAAAAUUCACCCCACCAAAAGCAAAGACCAUAAACUUGGAUGUUCUAAAAUAUGUCUUCCAGCUUGAGAGAUACACCAGUUAAUCACCCAUACAAUAGUCUACAUUCUAUAGCUAUAGACUCCAAGUAUAUUCUCCUGAAACUACAUGAUUUCUUUUAGAUAGUGCAUCAAAAGAGUUCAUGACUUGCUUACCAACCAUUUUCUAAGGUUUAUACAUCAAUCUAAAGUGUUAAGUUUUAUACCUUCACCCAUACAAAUCCAUAUUUUUCCAAAUUCAUCUACUUCAAAGCCUGAUUUCCAACACUACAGACACAAGUACCUUUCUUUGGUACCAAUCUUUUCUUAGAAAAAGCAUUAUUCGUCAUUCCAAUUUCAAAAAGAGAUGCAUAGAUUUUCCCAGUUCUAUAUUUCAUUUUAUUUAAAAAAAAUCAGCCUUUCAUUCAAUAUAUGAUGCUAAGAAAUAUGAACAAACUGCAUCAAGAGUAGCAAUCAUUCACAAUCGAAUUUGAAAGGAAGUCUCUACACGUAAAUAAUUCACAUAGCCACAAUUCACAAAGCAAAUCGUAAUGCUACCCAAUUUCCAAUACAAAACCAAAUCAGCUAAAUCAUAUAUUGAAAAUCAAAACUUCACCCAACAAGAAAAGAAUACAAUCCUCAUACCUCAGAGAGAGCAGCAAGAAGCAGAAUCCGAUUGGAAAGGGACUUGGAACCCGGCAACGUGAUGGUGCCGGAGAUCUCUUUAAUGGGUUGUAGGACAAUCUCCGGCACCGUCGACAGCUUCUCCUUAGUGGCAACAGAGGCCGAAACCCUAAACGGGGCCCUAACAGAAACAACCGAAUUGCUAACUGCCCUCUCAUGCUUCAAAGAAAAAGAAGAAACAUUAGGCCCUGAUCUCAAGAAGGGAGUAGUGAAUGGAGGAGUGGGUUUGUGAGGCUUGGAGAGAUUGGGCAAGAGAGGGCCGUUCUGGACACCACCACUGAUAAUUCUGGUAACUUGAGCCAUUUUUCUCUCUCUAAACUAGAGGGCUCUGAUGAAAGUGGGUAUUGAUAAGAUGGGUGUAGACCCCUUUUUUUUAGACCAUUGGAGUUUGCAUUGUUUUUUACAUUUUAAUGGUUCCCGGGGAGGAGCGGCAGCACCUUGGACGAGUGGGGGACCGGCUUCCCUAGGCAGGCUGCAUGGGACAUAUGGCCAACUCACCACGGAUGAAAGUUUCCAAUUUUUUGGCCGAAAUUUCGGGUUUCGGUGGCCGGCGAUAGAAAGAGGGGGGCGAAAUGUCGAUGGGAGAAAUUUCGCCAAAUUUCGGUGAAAAUCGGCGAAAAAAUCGCCGAAAAAUGGAUGCAGGCGAAAAAUCGGCGAAAUCUUCAAAAAAUCGCCGGACACUGCAAUUUAUCGGCGAAUUUUCGGUUUGUAUCGCCUAUUUUUUUCCGAUUUUUCGGAAAAUUUCCCGAUAUUUCCUACCAGUCCAGCCCGCGCAGAGGAUACAAAAUCUGAUCAUGAUUUGCAGGCAAAGAUUGUGUUUUUUAGCCUGGCUCAAAAAUCGUGGAUUUAGGGUUUGUGAAAUUUAAAUCCAAUGGCACAAAAGCAAAGCGACCCCUAGAACAGAUCCAGAAAACACAGGAAGCAAAAAAAAAACAGCAAUCUUUCUGGUUUUCCUUGGGGGUUUUGCAUGGAUUUUCUCGGAAAUCAAACGAGGAUGAAUUUUCCCGGAAAUCGAAUGGGGGAUGGAUUUUCUUGGGAAUCAAGCGGGGUUGCAGAAAAAUAAAAAUAAAUAACAAGAUUAGAUUAGUACCUGGGAGGAUUGAGAGUGGCAGAGGAAAAUAGGGCCUUUUUAGGGAUUCUCUCGUCUGGAGGGCAACUUCAGAAAAGGGCUUCUUGAUGACCGAGUGAGAGAAGUGGGAGGCCCUUUUUAUUUUUAGAUUUAGUAGAGAUUAAAAAAAAAAAAAAAAAAAAAGGAAACAUAUCAUGAGAACAAUUUUCCUCUCUCUAUAUAAAUAAUUAUUAAUUAUCCAUCUUUAUUUUGAUUAAAUCUGGAUUAAAAUUUGGUUUUUAUAGAUGAUAUUUUAUAAAUUAAAAUUAAUUUGAUAAGAUAAAUUAUUAAUAAUUUUAAUUAUUUAAAUAAAUUAAUGUUAAUAAAAAAAGUUGUUACCAUACAUUUUUAAUAAAAUUUUAGAAAUUAAAUCUCAAAUAAAAUAUUUUAUUGAUAUUUCAAUUUGGACCCAGUGCAUCUGAUGGUCCAAAUUGAACCUUAAGUUAUGUGAUAAUAUGUAUAAAUUAUUGAUAUUUACUAAAAAUAAGUUUUUCAUGAAACUUCAUAAUGAGUGUAUAAGUACAACCGACAUAAUAUAAUUAUGUUUAAUAUCGCAAAUCAUAUUAUAUAUAUAUAUAUAUAUAUCAAAUUCUUCACCAAAACAACUUUAAAUUGUCUAUUAUACUUUUAAUUACAUUAAUAUGAGGUUUUUUUUUUACAUUUUCAUGAGUUUUUAUCAAUUUUUUGCUUAUCAAAUUUUUUUUCCAAAAUAUCCGUCAAUAUUUCUCCGAUAUAUCCAUAAAAUCAAGUUACCGAUAUAUCCGUGAUUACCGAUAUUUUCACCCUUGGUGGCAUCUUUGCUGAAGGGUGAAUAGUGUAGCCGGUAGAAGCUUGCAAGAAAAGAAAGAGAAAAAAAAAAAAAAAAAAAAGAGGAGUUGUGUUGAAGCGGGACGAUAAAAAGGAGCAAGGAUAAGAUAGCAAAAAAAGAAAAACUAAGAAGAGGGAUAGCUUAGAGAAAAAAAGGAAAACCAGCUAGGGAGAGGGGAGAGAAGGAUCGGGGGAGAAAAAACAGAGAACGGUUUUUGAGAGCAAAAACAGAGAGUCAACUGAGGAGCAAAGAGAGGCAAGACAACUUAAAGAAGAACAACUCUCUGCUUAAAGGGAGCUUUCCAGGUAUGGCUACUGUAGGGACCAUCCCUAAGCGUACACGUGGCGACCUCACAAGGCACUCCUCCAUUGGACACGUGGCACGUCUAACCCUCUGUCUGGACGACCACAUGGACUGACAUGCGGUACGUACACCCUCUGUCCGGAUCCAGUGGCUAACAUCUCAAACAAGAUUCUUGACCACACUUCGCGGUCAAUCAUUACUCAUUUUGCCAAAAGCAUGCUCAACAAGACCUUACUGGGUCACUUCAGGCGGCCUGCCAUGACCUGCCAUGUGCCGCCUGUAGAGUGAAAAGACAAAGAUGAUGGAAAACCAUCCCUCCAGCAAUCUCUGAUAGCCGCCUACAGGAUAAUGAUGGCUUUGUCACCCUCUAAGCACCAUCAUGACAGCCAAAAAGUCUUCCCACCAUUCAAAUGGACAAAGCUCCUGGCACUAUAAAAGGCCCCCACACAGUCAAACAAGGUAAGCAUUUCUAAGGAAAGGGACCCCAUAAAAAUAUCAAUAUGCUAGAGAGCAAAACUAACAAAGGCAUCGGAGGGUGUGUCUGGACCCCCUAUCCGGACAUUUUUUGCAGAUCAAAGGAAGGAAGCAUCUUCUUCAGUUGAGGAGGCAAGUCAAUCAGGAAACUGGAGUGAUCCUGGUAAUGCCAGCCUUUAACAGCUACUAGGCCACUGGUUUGCCUUGUUAGAUCUACUCUUUAUAGACAUGCUAUGUUUUGGUUUUAUUUUGGUGUUUUUUAUUUCUCUUAUAAAUAUCUGAUGCUCUGCUGCUCCUUCCCUAAACUUGAUGUAUCAAAAUCAUGCUCUUGCUCCCUCUUGAUUCCACCUAUAUCCAACCCAUUGAUCUUUAUGAAGGAGCUAGGUUUAACAAUAUCAUCUUUGUUUGUACAUGCUCUGUUUUUCUUCAUUUUCUCCUAUGUUUUUAGUAUUUUUGGAGUAUUGGUUAUCAUGUUUGGGUUGGCCAUCUUAGUCAGGGUAUUUUUGGAGUAUUGGGUAUCAUGUCUAGGCUGGCCAUCUUGGUUGGGGUGCUUCUGGGAAAGCUCAAGUCAGUCCAGUAGAUUCAAUUGUGGAAGAAGUCAAAGAUUGGAGCUCUAUUGAAGCGAUUUGCUACAGCUUGAUAUUGUUUGGUCUUUUGAGGAAAUGUUCUUGUUGAAGUAGAGAGAGAAUUAUUGAGAACAAUGACUUGACUUUUCCAUUUAUUAAGAAUGAAUAUAUAUACAUAAAACCUAAAACACAAAAAUAGGAAACAAUUCUAUAAUUAGGGAAUUACAACAAAAAUAUGAAGUUACAACUAAUUACAAGAAUUGGAAAAUAAAAAGAAAAUCUAUUGUUAAUGAAUUCUCUAAUACGCCCCCUUAAGAUGGAGUUCUAGAGGAGACGCCAAUCUUGACUCGUAAUUCUUGGAAGCGGCUUCGUGGAAGCGGUUUAAUAAGAGCGUUAGCAAGUUGAUCUGCUAAGGAAACAUGAGUAACACGAAGAGCACCUGAUUGAACUUGAUCCCGAAUAAAGUGAUAGUCAAUUGCCACAUGUUUCAUGCGUGAAUGAAAGAUUGGAUUAGAAUAAAGAUAGAUGGCACCAACAUUGUCACAAUAAAUAACAGGUGGUGUAGGUAGAGUGACGUCAAGCUAUGUGAGAAGGGAACAAAUCCAAUUGAUUUCUGAAGUAGUAGCGGCAACUGAUCGAUACUCAGCCUCUGUGGAUGACCAAGCAACUAUACGUUGUUUCUUGGAUGACCAAGAAAUUGGAUGACGACCAAGAUAGACAAUAUAAGCACUCGUAGAGGUAUAGUCGUCUUUGUUGCCAACCUAAUCUGCAUCUGAGAAGGCAUGAAGAGAAAGUGUAUUUGCCUUAUGAAGAAAUAAUCCAUGAGUCAAUGUGCCAUAUAGAUAUCGAAGCAGUCGUUUUGCAGCAUUCCAAUGUUCAGACAUCGGGUGAUGCAUGAAUUGGGAUAGCUUGUUAACAACAUAUGAUAUGUCUAGGCGAGUGAGGCAAAGAUACUGUAGACUGCCAACAAGGGUUCUAUAUUCUGUGCAGUUAGUAAGAGUUGUACCUAAAUGAAGUGUGAGAUUUCCAUCUGUAACAAGUGGUGUAGCAACAAAUUUUGCACUAGACAUUUUUGUCUAGGCAAGAAGAUCAGAGAUGUAGCGCCUUUGAGUAAGCAACACACCAGAUGGAGAGGUAAGAACCUCAAUGCCAAGAAAGUAGGACAAGGUGCCAAGAUCCUUGAUUGAAAAUCUUUGUGCUAGGAGAUCAAUGUAGUGCUGAAUAAUAUUGGUGUUGGUACUUGUGAUAAUAAUGUCAUCUACAUAAACAAGUAAAUAUAUAGUAAUGUCACCUGAGUGAAGAAUGAAUAGAGAAGUGUCUACAUGAAAGUUUGUGAACCUAGACUUAAUGAAGAAUUGGUGAAGUUCAAGAUACCAAGCUCGUGGGGCUUGCUUGAGUCCAUAUAUAGCCUUCUUUAAUUUGCAUAUGUGUUGGAUUGUCUUUAUCAACAAAUACCGGAGGUUGUGUCAUGUAGACAUCUUCGGAAAGAUGGCCUUGAAGAAAGACAUUAUUAACAUCCAAAUGCCGCAAUUGCCAGCCUUUACUGACUACUAGGCUUAGAACAAACCGUAUUGUUGUCGGUUUGAUAACUGGACUAAAGGUGUCAUGAUAAUCCACGCUAGGUCUUUGAUGAAAACCUUUGGCAACUAAUUUGGCUUUGUACCUAUCAAUAGAGCCAUCAAGAAGCCGUUUAAUACGAAAAACCCACUUACAUCCAACAAGAUUUUGCAUAAAAGUAGAUGGAACAAGCUCCCAAUUUCCAUUCCGAACAAGAGCAUCAAAUUCAUCAUUCAUGGCUUGUCUCCAUUUGGGAUCGGUGAGGGCUUGGUUAAUAGUAUGAGGCUCAAUGUCUGAUGGUUGAGAAAUGACAGCAAUGAGAUUCAUCUUGGUUAGGGGUUUGUGGAUGUUGUUUUUAGCUCUAGUGUUCAUGGGAUGGGUAUUUUGAUGGGUGGAUGGAGAUGUGGUUGAAGUAGAAGAGAUCUUAGAAUUGUGUGGUUCUAGUGGUAAACGGUCGAUUGGUGAAGAGGGGCGAUUGACCGGUUGGGCAUUUUAGGACGGAUGUUGACACGAGGAAUCCCUUUGUGGAGGCGUAUUGAGUGAGCCAUUUGAAAUGGUUAGAGUUUAGACCGGUGGAAGCUAAUUGGGAAUGAGUUGUAGGGUGGGACGAGCUAGAUGAGAUUGGUGAGUGGUAAAGGGAAAAGUGUUUUCAAGAAAUUUGACAUGAUGAGAAAUAUAGGUUUUAGAGGUGGACAGAUCAAGACAGAUAUAGGCACUUUGUGUUGAAGAGUAAGUAAGAAAAACAUAAGGAGUGGAACGAGAAACAAGUUUAUGUUGAGAAUAAGGACGAGGCCACGGAUAACAUAAGCAACCGAACACCCGAAGUUUAGUGUAGUUGGGUGGAGACUCAAAGAGUUUGUCAAAAGGAAAUGAGAGAUGUAGUGUGGGUGUGGGCAUACGGUUGAUGAGAUAUAUAAUAGUGGCAAAGGCGUAAGUCCAAAAAGUUAGAGGCAUCGAUGCAUGAGUGAGAAGAGAUAGAUCGGUUUCAACAAUAUGGCGAUGACGUCGUUUGGAAAAACCAUUAUGUUCAGGUGUAUGUGGUGGUAUAGUAAGAUGUGAUAUACCAUUGGUGGAAAGAAAAUUAUCAAGGGCUUGAUAUUCGCCACCAUUAUCUGAAUAAAGGGUAACAAUUCGGUGUUUAGAUUGGUUUUUGACUAAUGCCUUGAAGCACACAAAGACAUCAUACACAUGAGAUUUCCAUUUAAGUGGAUAAUACCAAAUAUAUCGUGUAUAAUGAUCAACAAAA